GGGAUGGUAGCUCCAAGGAAGAGCGUGCGCCUGUUAAGCGCAAGGUUCGAGGUUCAAGUCCUCGCUUUCCCG
Molecule: transfer RNA, 72 nt
Filed under: Acanthamoeba castellanii medusavirus
Also listed under: 1 other name
Rfam family: tRNA
About the family: Transfer RNA (tRNA) molecules are approximately 80 nucleotides in length. Their secondary structure includes four short double-helical elements and three loops (D, anti-codon, and T loops). Further hydrogen bonds mediate the characteristic L-shaped molecular structure. tRNAs have two regions of fundamental functional importance: the anti-codon, which is responsible for specific mRNA codon recognition, and the 3' end, to which the tRNAs corresponding amino acid is attached (by aminoacyl-tRNA synthetases). tRNAs cope with the degeneracy of the genetic code in two manners: having more than one tRNA (with a specific anti-codon) for a particular amino acid; and 'wobble' base-pairing, i.e. permitting non-standard base-pairing at the 3rd anti-codon position.
Source: Rfam by way of RNAcentral